RNAcentral lists this ribosomal RNA (505 nucleotides) under uncultured bacterium. RNAcentral describes it as "bacterial SSU rRNA". It matches the Rfam family "Bacterial small subunit ribosomal RNA", at positions 19 to 518 of the family's 1533-position model. The record is from RNAcentral.
CUGGUUCAGGAUGAACGCUAGCGACAGGCCUAACACAUGCAAGUCGAGGGGCAGCACAAGGAGCAAUCUGAGGUGGCGACCGGCGCACGGGUGAGUAACACGUAUGCAACCUGCCUGUAAGCGGGGAAUAACCCGUUGAAAGACGGACUAAUACCGCAUAAUACUAAAUUACUGCAUGGUAAUUUAUUUAAACAUUUAUGGCUUACAGAUGGGCAUGCGCAUGAUUAGCUAGUUGGAGAGGUAACGGCUCCCCAAGGCAACGAUCAUUAGGGGUUCUGAGAGGAAGGUCCCCCCACACUGGUACUGAGACACGGACCAGACUCCUACGGGAGGCAGCAGUGAGGAAUAUUGGUCAAUGGACGAGAGUCUGAACCAGCCAAGUCGCGUGCAGGAAGAAUGUCCUAUGGAUUGUAAACUGCUUUUGCAGGGGAAUAAAGUGCAUCACGUGUGAUGUUUUGUAUGUACUCUGCGAAUAAGGAUCGGCUAACUCCGUGCCAGCCGCCGC